RNAcentral lists this ribosomal RNA (414 nucleotides) under uncultured microorganism. Its description in RNAcentral is "bacterial SSU rRNA". It matches the Rfam family "Archaeal small subunit ribosomal RNA", at positions 459 to 872 of the family's 1478-position model. The record is from RNAcentral.
CAGCAGCCGCGGUAAUACCGGCGGCCCUAGUGGCGGCCACUAUUAUUGGGCUUAAAGCGUCCGUAGCCGGGUUGGUUAGUCUCCCGGGAAAUCUGGCCGCUUAACGGUCAGAAUUCCGGGAGAUACUGCCAGCCUAGGGACCGGGAGAGGCCGAGGGUAUUCCCGGAGUAGGGGUGAAAUCCUAUAAUCCCGGGAGGACCACCUGUGGCGAAGGCGCUCGGCUGGAACGGGUCCGACGGUGAGGGACGAAGGCCAGGGGAGCAAACCGGAUUAGAUACCCGGGUAGUCCUGGCUGUAAACGAUGCGGACUUUGUGUCGGACAAGCUAUGAGCUUGUCCGGUGCCGGAGGGAAACCGUUAAGUCCGCCGCCUGGGGAGUACGGCCGCAAGGCUGAAACUUAAAGGAAUUGGCGGG